GCAGAAAACGCUGCAAGUCCUGCAUCUCCCAUCUCCUCAUUGGCUUUUAGAAGCAUUUGCCCACGUGCCAUCUCCUCAUUGGUUAUACCCACGUGGGUGGAUGAUUGAAAGAUGAACAGAGGUCGGUGGUAGUAAUACACCUUAUGAAAGUUAGUUGCCAUUCGCCAUAUAAAGUCCAAAGAAGAAAAAGCCUGGAAGGAGGAGAGAUGAAACAAUUCGGUUCACAGUUUUAUGUGUUGAUUAAUUAUCGGAGUAGAGAACCUUGUGCAUUUCAGACAGUGGAGCCUCCAGGUGGCCUCUCUCAAUGCCCCAAGUUACCUCCCCUGUCCCAAACACACUCCUUUAUCACGGCUUCCUCUGGAGACCAUCUCUGCAAUACUGACCUGCAGGCAGUGGAGCCCCCAGCUGGUCCUUCUCAAUGCCCCAAGUUACCUCCCCUGUCUCUAACGCACUCCUUUAUCAUGGCUUCCUCUGGAGACCAUCUCUGCCAUCCUGACCUGCAGGUUAAGAGACUAGCUGACAUAUUAGCUGGGGAAAAGUAGGUUCUGUGUCUGGAUGAGUCUGUACAUUAGGACUGUAUCCCAAGCUUUACAAGGGAAU
This 600-nucleotide long non-coding RNA is filed under the name Salmo salar (Atlantic salmon). RNAcentral's name for it is "lncRNA (ENSSSAG00000099520.1)". The record is from RNAcentral. Lineage: Eukaryota; Metazoa; Chordata; Actinopteri; Salmoniformes; Salmonidae.